This 253-nucleotide ribosomal RNA is filed under the name uncultured bacterium. Its description in RNAcentral is "partial 16S ribosomal RNA". It matches the Rfam family "Bacterial small subunit ribosomal RNA", at positions 524 to 776 of the family's 1533-position model. The record is from RNAcentral.
UACGUAGGGGGCAAGCGUUGUCCGGAAUCAUUGGGCGUAAAGAGCGUGUAGGCGGCCAGGUAGGUCUGCUGUGAAAACUCGAGGCUUAACCUCGAGCUGUCGGCGGAAACCAUCUGGCUAGAGUCCGGAAGAGGAGAAUGGAAUUCCCGGUGUAGCGGUGAAAUGCGCAGAUAUCGGGAAGAACACCCGUGGCGAAGGCGGUUCUCUGGGACGGUACUGACGCUGAGACGCGAAAGCGUGGGGAGCGAACAGG